RNAcentral lists this long non-coding RNA (715 nucleotides) under Marmota monax (woodchuck). Lineage: Eukaryota; Metazoa; Chordata; Mammalia; Rodentia; Sciuridae. The record is from RNAcentral.
UUUCUUUCAUCCGUCUAAUUGCUCUGGUCAGUGUUUCAAGGACUAUGUUAAAUAGAAUUGGUGAGAGAAGGCAUCCCAAAAUUGUUCCAAUUUUUAGAGGGAAUGCUUUCAGUUUUCCUCCAUUUAGAAUGAUGUUGGCCUGGGGCUUAGUGAAGACAGCCUUUACGAUGUUGAGAUAUGUUCCUAUUCCUAGUAAGUCUUUUUGAAGGAAUGCACACUGUGUGAUGGUUUGGCUAUGAGGUGUCCCCCCAGAUCUUUCAUGUUAAUGCAGGAAUAUGCAGAAGAGAUGAUAUGAUUCCAUUAGGAGAGCUGGUACCUCCUCAGUCCACACUAAUUAGAAUGGACUAACUGGGAGGUGACUAGGCAGGUGGGGUGUGGCUGGAGGAGGUGGGGCCCUGGGGGUGUACCCUGGGAGGGUGCAUCUUCCCUGGGGUCCCCACCCUCUCUGUCUCUGCUUCCUGGAGGCCAUAAUUUGAGCAGCUUUCCACUGCCUUACGGGUCCGCCAUGAUGUUCUUCUCCACCCCAGGCUCAGAGCAAUGGUUGGCUGACCUUGAACUGAACUGCUGAAACCAUGAGCCAAAUUAAAGUUUCUCUUCCCUGAGUUGUUCUUGUUGAAUAUUUUGGCCACAGUGACAACUGACUAAUACACACUGUGUUCUCUCUAGUGCAAGGACAGAAAUCACAGAUUAGUGGAGAAUAAAAAGGAGUAAGGAA